RNA transcript from Calidris pugnax (ruff), 3552 nucleotides. It is a transcript of the gene named growth factor, augmenter of liver regeneration, with no coding region annotated. Lineage: Eukaryota; Metazoa; Chordata; Aves; Charadriiformes; Scolopacidae. The record is from RefSeq and is a predicted model, not a curated record. The transcript has 4 exons.
AUGGCGGCGCCCAGGGAGGACCGGCAGUGUCGCGGCGCUCCGCCGUUCUCGGGUACCGAGAGCGGCCCCUUCACCGGCGCGCACGGCGCCGCGGGCUCCGGGGCGGAGGAGCAGUCCAAGAAGCCUUGCCGAGCCUGCACGGAUUUCAAGAGCUGGUUCCAACAGCAGAGGAAGCGGGCGGCCCCGGGCGGCGGCGGGGACGAGACAGUUGCCGAGGAGAGAGGGCCACCGCCGAACUGUCCCCUCGACAGCGAGCAGCUGGGCCGCAGCACCUGGGCCUUCCUGCACACCAUGGCAGCCUACUACCCCGACCGCCCCACCGGUGCCCAGCAGAAGGAGAUGAGAGAGUUCAUCAACCUUUUCUCCAAGUUUUACCCCUGCGAGCACUGCGCUGAGGAUCUGAGGGAAAGAUUGCGUACAAAUCAGCCUGAUACUAGCAACAGAAAUAACUUCUCCCAGUGGUUGUGUCUUCUUCAUAAUGAAGUGAACAGGAAACUGGGGAAAUCUGAAUUUGACUGCUCUCGUGUGGAUGAACGCUGGCGGGAUGGUUGGAAAGACGGUAGUUGUGAUUAAUCCAUAGAGACUGCUUUGGAAAUCUAACAGACCAAUAUGGCCAUGAGUCACUACAGGGAGAUGUGCGAGUAAAGAACUGCGUGGUUGUGUGCUUGUGUGUGUGACUGGUAUGGCUUGUGGAAAUAAAGGUAAACCAAUUCUAAAAGUAACUUUGAAAAUCUUAGCCUAAUAAUAUUUUGAUAAAUUAUUACAUAAAUAUAUUACCUGAGGGAUUGAGGCCUUACGUUCAACACAGGAAUGGCUAGGAACCUGUGAAAUUAAGCCACUGACAAACUCAUGGAGACUUUUUCAUAAUGACAUUUCAUUAUUUUGGGGGCGUUUCUGUGACUAGAAUUUGUUUUCCCUGAACGCAGUUGUAGAGGGCUGCCCUGUGCCAUUUUACGUUUAUCUGCAGGUAUUACUCUGAUGUUUUAGAAAAUGCAUCUGAUUAAUUGUAAUUUUAAUUUCUGUUGUUCUGAUGGCACAAAACACAGCAUGAGUUUUCUCCAAGUCUGUACUCCUGAAUCUCUCUUUCCGAGAUCUUUCAUGCUUGUUUGUAAAUUUGCAUCCAGUUCCUUUGAUAAAAGGCCUGAAGGCGGGUGCAUUUAAUUCAAACACUAAAGCCAAUAGAGCCCAGAUUUCUCAUUUUAUGUUUGUGUUUCAACUUACCAUGUAAGAGGGCAUCGUAGAAAGAGAAAUUGAAGCAGGACAAAAAAAAACCCCACAUCUGAUGAAUGGAAUGAAGUAUCAGCUGGGUGAAAUUCAAAUGUCUUAAAUUGAUUGCUAAUUUUCUUUGUAUUCAGAAAUGGUGUAAUGGUAAGUUCUACUGAAAUACUUAUUCUUAAAGCCAAUAACCUCUUCGUCUCUGCUGUGAACUUCUGUCUGUUGUGAAAAUAGCUUGAGACUGAUACCUGUAAUGAAGCAUAUUUAGCUUUGUUUAGCAUACGGUAUUUCUGAGAUGUCCCUCUAGUUUUGAAAUCCUUGAUUGGUACUUGCUGACCUGGUCGAUCCCCUGAUCUGGUGUUAUUCCCCAGCUAAAAAUCCCUGUAGAACAAAAGGACUUUGCAAGCCCCCUACAGUAUUUGAGUCCUGCUUAAGACUGCGAUGUCAGGUUUACAUGGUAUUUAUUGCACAGGGGACUCCAAGGAGUCCCUGGGGUAGGUUCCCUCUGUAGAAACUGCUCAGAAUCCAUGCUAUGUAUAUUUUUUCCGAGGUAAAAUAUACCGCAUCAGUAUAUUGAUACAUAAAUGUGCAUUUCAGCUUCAAGUGAAACAGCAGUGUGAUUUACACCACAAUGCAUAUAAACAUGUGUCUCUUUUUAUAAAGAGACAGCUUAUAAAAAAAAAAAAACCGAAGUCAAAAGAAUUUCAGGUUCUUAAAGUAGAUAGUCAUGUCAUGCCCUUAUUGCAUUUCUGGCUGUGAAGAGUUUGCAGGAAUUUGCACAACCCACGACAAUAGUAGGCUUUUUCCUUCUGUACUUCCUGCUGAGGAUUUCUUGUGUGUUUUAGUGAGCUUCCUUAUUUCAUGCACUACCGUACAUUUGUAAAUUUACUCUUGUUGAUAGUGUUACCUGGAACUGUUAGUGAGACUUAUUAUAAAAGUAUUAGAGUGAUGACAGCUCAUAUCUAAGAACUUUGGUUCUUCAAACCUGUGUACUAAACCUUAGUGUUUGGUGAAGCAAUAAGAACUUUGAAAAUACAUUUGAAUGUUUUAUGGUGCAUUCAAGUUCUUUCUAGUUGUUAAAACAGGAGGAGACAAAUUUUAUGGACCUGUUAUUAUUGAAGGGUUUUUUUUUUAAUGUAAUAACGUUUCUAAACACAAACCCAACAAAACCAGUGAUAAGAUACUUCAUGAAGAUAGCAAUCUGACUUGUGACUUGAAAGUAGGAUGCGAAAAUCGCCCUAUUAACAUGUUGAAUUUCUUAGAACAAUUAAAUUCCAGGCCUGGGUUUUUAUCUUUUCAGUAAUAAACUCAGUCCCCAAAAUGAAGCACAUUGAUAUCUGCUAGUGGAGAGAGGACCAACAGAAAGGCUGUAGCCCUGCCCUUUUGUCAGGCCUGACCUGAAUUGUCCAGUUCUGUCAGGGUAGUUUUAGUAGCUGGGGGUGUUGCCAGGCAUUUUCUUCUGGAUUUGGUUGUUCUAGAGGAGGAAUUUACUGUUCUUCCUUUCCAGUCUGCCCUCAGCUAUUCUCUGUGACAAUUUCAUCACCCAUGGAGCAGAUGAUGAGAUUUCUUCCAGCGUAAAUUUGCUUCACUGUAAACAAGCAGGUUGGUAAAACACCUGUCUCAUCCUUUUUUUGUCUUAAUACUGAAAAUGGGCUGGGUUGGUGAGUUCCACGUGCUUGUGCAAGCACACUUGAUCUCUGUGGCCGAGUCCUGGGACCACUGCUCUCUUCUGCUGGCAAGCUGUUGGUGAUGGGCAGGUGCGUGGUAACCUUCCAGCAUACUGCAGUGUCUGUCCCCAUAUUAAGAGUGUAGAGAGGAAAAUAAACAUGGAUCCUGCUCAAAAUCUGGGGGAGCAGUUGUGGUGACACAAAAUUUUUGUCACCUUGUGUUCAAGGAGGUGGUAGAUGUGUGGAGAAGGAAAAGCCCCUUCUGCCAGCAGUGCAGGGGUAGGGAAAGAGCCUUAAAGCUGAAGCCAGCAUCUUUAGCAAAUGCUUCCUAAUAAUGAGGCCACCAGCUGUGGCUGUUAAGAUGUUAUUAGGGCACUUUGUAACUUUGCUAAGUAGCCAUUUGGUAAAAAAAUCUAUGCUUGCACUCUGUUCUCUCAUGUUUCUGGCUUUGCAAAAGAGCUUUGACUUAGGUAUUUCUCAGGCAUAUUGUUAUCUCUGCGGACUUGAGUGUGUGGGGAGGGGGGGAUUUUUUUUUUUUUGCUGCUCAUUUGUACCACAUCUCAAGUUUUAAUCUUAUGUAAGGAAUUUCUAUUGAAGAUACUUGUAUUUGUGUACAGAAAAUUGUGAAUUCUCUUCUAAAUGCACUUGAUUAAAUCUAGUUUUAAAAAUA